This 427-nucleotide ribosomal RNA is filed under the name uncultured bacterium. RNAcentral describes it as "partial 16S ribosomal RNA". It matches the Rfam family "Bacterial small subunit ribosomal RNA", at positions 355 to 774 of the family's 1533-position model. The record is from RNAcentral.
UGGGGAAUAUUCGACAAUGGGCGAAAGCCUGAUCCAGCCAUGCCGCGUGUGUGAAGAAGGUCUUCGGAUUGUAAAGCACUUUAAGUUGGGAGGAACGGCAUUCACCUAAUACGUUAGUGUUUUGACGUUACCGACCGAAUAAGCACCGGCUAACUCUGUGCCAGCAGCCGCGGUAAUACAGAGGGUGCAAGCGUUAAUCGGAAUUACUGGGCGUAAAGCGCGCGUAGGUGGUUUGUUAAGUUGGAUGUGAAAUCCCCGGGCUCAACCUGGGAACUGCAUUCAAAACUGACUGACUAGAGUAUGGUAGAGGGUGGUGGAAUUUCCUGUGUAGCGGUGAAAUGCGUAGAUAUAGGAAGGAACACCAGUGGCGAAGGCGACCACCUGGACUAAUACUGACACUGAGGUGCGAAAGCGUGGGGAGCAAACA